UGAGAGCUGUAUUUUUGUUGUUUAUGGCCACUGUGCCAUCUAUCCUCUAUUUUCCAUUUCCUCUUUCCAUCUUAAAGUUGGCCUUCAUGUAGGACUGUAACGGUACACAAAGCUUCAUAGAAUACCUCAGUUUUGAGGUUUGAUUCAAAGUCCUUUAGUACAGCUCAGAAUUGACCAUUAAACUAUCAGCUGAAGAGUUCCAGGUUUUCUGACCAUGUGUACCGUUCCAUCCUGAUGUGGUCAGCGUGCUGUUGUAACUUUUUGUUUCCAGGUUGAUCAUCCUUCUGUUCGUCUCCCCGUAGUUUAGCCUUUAGUGCGUCGUUUAGAUGAUCCCUCAACAGUAAGUCUCACUUUCCAUACUUAUUUUGCUGGUUUGUCUCUCCUCGGCCGCCGUGCCGACCUGUCCUGUCUUUCCAACAUGGCCGCCGUGCCGUGUUUUUCGCAUCCUGGCCGCCGUGCCGCUUCUUCAGCCUGUCUCUAUCCAUUUCUCACCAUGCGUCGUCCAGCAUGGCCGUCGAUCCGUAGUUUGAAACCAUGCUGGAGAAGACAUUUUCUCUGGAUCUAUGGAUAGUAGGUGGUAAGUUUCUUUAAAUGUUGGUUCUGGUGUUGGGCUCAGUCUUGAUCUCUCAUUCUCUCUCUUAGUAUGUCUAUAAUGGCCGGUUUGCUAAACUUACUGUGUAAUAGAGCUGUGAAGAGUAUUGCGUUCGUUUAGCAGUAUAUUCUCGUGUUGUACAAAUGCCUUCAUGUGUCUGCUGUAUCGGUCUGUAUUUAAAGAUGGUCAUCGCCUCCAACAGCCAAAUUCAUAGACUGUAGUGUAGCUGUGGGCAUCUUUACAUACAGACUGUGCAGUGUGGUCAAGCUGCCUUGUUGUGGCUCAGCAGUUGCAACGAGGCAGCUUCACCUGACAAGUGAUCUCUGUCAUACUGAACUGUCAUCUCCUGCAUGGCCAGCACCUCUUUAUAUCUGUACCUGUCUGUCAAGCAUGAUCACUAUAUCUGCCACGCCUGUGGCUACCACACCCUCCUCUCCCAAAGCAGGUGGAUCAGCUGUUCAAACUGAUGCUACAACAGGACGGAGCUGCGGCAGGAGCAUCUGCUUCAUUUUCUGCUUCAUAGCUGAACUUCCAGAGAUGAUGGCUGGAAACAGUCUUCAGAGUCUAAAGGCCUCGGCUGCACAAACGGAAGACAACUGUAGCAUUUGUGGAUGAAGUUACUACUGUCAAACUGCAUGAUGAAUCUAAAAUCAGGUGGAUCAGCUGUUCCCUCAUUCACAAAUCUGAUGCAGGACAGGAUGGAGCUUCCUCUGGAAUAUUGGCUUUAUUUCCUGCAUAAAAGCUGGAUUUCCAGAGACGCCAGUUGGAAAUGGAACCCUAAGAGUUUGAAGGCCUCGGACACACAACACCAGACCAAACAUGGAAUUAGAUGCCAUCUGACUGCAUGAGGAGCCUAAAAUCAGACCACAGGUCAGUAAAACUAACUGUAAGUUUAUUGAAUGUUUGUGAAGUUGACCAUGUGAGCGUCGGCGUGACCAAGGCCUGGUGACCCUGACGCCUCUUCAGCCUGUCCAUUCAACGCCAUGCACCAUCCGUCAUGGCAGCCAAGCUGUAGUUUGGAGCCAAGAAGACAUUUUAUUUGGAUCUAUGGGAAGUAAGUGUCAUCUCUUCCAAAUGUUUGUUCUGGUGGACCAUUGGUUCAGUUUCAUCUUCACCGACAUGAUAAACAAAUGUUGGUUUCCAAACAAAAUGAGCAAUAACUAACAGUAGUAAUUUAUCUACCUAUUGUCUUAAACACAACAAUACAAAUAAAUAGAUGAGACGGAUCCAUUGGUAAUGCCAAACAAAAUCAAUUUAUGAUCAAAAUUUGAAAAUGUGUCCUACAAUAAAAUACAUUCUGAAUAGUUUGAAUUAAAUACAGUGGCAGAAGCCAGUGUCUUGUCCAGCAGAACACCUUUUUUUGGAUGGUAUGAAGCAGGUGGAUCAGCUGUUCCAUAGUUCACCAAACUUCUGCCAGGAUGGAGCUGUGGCAGGAAUGUCUGCUUCCCUUUCUGCUGAACUUGUAGAGGCGCCGACUGGAAACAAAGUCUUCAGAGUUUGUUGAAGGCCUCAGACGCACCAGCGGAAGACAACUGUGACCACCCAGUCAAUUCAGGUGAAGCAACUUCUGCAGCUGGCAAGUAUGAUUUUUAAGUUCACUUUUUGUUUGGCUGCUGGGUCUCUGUCUUCUGUCUAUACCUCUGUCUCAUCUCUCAUUGAGGAGUCAUCUAUCUGUCCUGAUCUAGUUACCUCAGCAUGCAUCCAGAGCCUUUAUCACACAUGGGAAAUGUUGCAUUUCUGCUUCAUUGGGCUUUUCAAGUGGUCGCCUUUAAUGUUUAUACAGAGGCACAACAUAUGUUUAGUAAAGGGCCACUGUUUUUUAGUUACUCACACAAGAUUAGAUCAUAGAUUAAGUUUCAGAAUUUACUAAACAAUCUGAAUUUCCACAUGAAGCAGACACUUUCUGAUGCUGUCAGAUUAACAUGAAGUAGUGCAUGUAUGAAAAGAGCUUCUGUCUGUCAUCAGAUUGGAACAAUAUUAAUGCAAUAACUUCUCAUGCAUUUUUUUCCUCCAGGUGGUGCUCUAAACAGUGCUGGUUGUCUUUAGUUGUAUGUUUUCAGGACCUUUAGAAUAUUUAGUUUUGCAAAAUUACAGGACAGUGAGCAAUAUAUAACAUAGUAUUUAUUUUUUUUAAUAUAAAUAUAAUAUAGAAAUAUCUAAAAAUAUCUUUAAAUUAUAAUAUUUUGAAUAAUUUACCAAUAUUUUUACAAAUAGCAAUUUGCUCUUCUAGUGGUUUGCUAAGUUUAUUUACUGAAUUUAAAAUAUAACUUUAUCAUGAUAUAAAAAAUUCAUUUUAACACUUGUGUAAUUAAUGCUAGUUUGAUGUUUAUAAUUUAAGGUUUUAGUACUUAUUGUAUUUUUUUAGCAAUGAUCACUUUGUCCAAUUGUUUUACUACUGCAUUUUUUAUUUUACCAGUCUUAUUUUGUCUUAUUCAGUGGUGUUGGUGUGAAUUGGUUACUAAAUCUGUUUUGUCAGUUGCUUGUAAAGCAGUUUGAACUUUGUUUUAUUUAAAAAGUGCUGUAUGAAGUUUUAUGAUUUCAGGUUUAAUCAAAGUUCAUUUCAAUGUUAUAAUCAGCUGUAUUUACUCUUAGUGCUCCAGAGCCCCUAUUUGUUUAAAUGAUGUAAAUUUCUAGAAUAUUGCUGUUCAAUCAUGUGUUACUGAUACCACACAUUUAAAAUGGAUGUUGAAUGAAAGUGCUUUGUGCUUUGCAGUGUAAAAAAUUCAUAUUAAUCUAAUUUUUCAAUUUUAAAUAUUAAUAUUCUACAAUAUUCGUUUUUGGAUCUUAAGCUUUAACAUUUAAUUUAGUCAAAUUUCUAUCAAUCUGUAUUUGUAUCUCCAUAUAGGCUUGAAAUAGAUGAUUUGCCAAAAGAAAAGAUGAAGUUAUUAGACUGUCAGUGAGUCCAGAUGAGUUGCUGUUAACAUUGCCACCUUAAUUUAAUAAUUGUACUUCGUCACAGGUUAAAUUCUGGCUGCUGUCGCUCUGCCAGGUUUAUUCCAACAGCAGACUCAAGUCAGAGUUUAGGUUUUGCAUCCUUUAGGAUUUUUAUUUGGGAGGCCUCCCAGCAGGGGAUUUUAACCAAACCCCUGCAAAGCGUAACUUCAUUAGUCGGUGACAAACUUCACCGACAGUUCAUGUAUGUUUUUAUACGUAUGUAGGAUGGUUUGGGGGUUGGUUGAGUUGUUGGAGGGGCUAAACACGGCAGAGUGACAACUUAAAGCUCAGUGACUGUUAAGAAGCUCCUAGACACCCAACUUGGGUUUAUUUUCUGUUUUAUGGUGACGAGGACAACAGCAGCUACAACUGGAAACCUCACUGACAUAAUGAGUAACUUUGUCCUAUUUUUAAUUCUCAUUACAUUGAACUGAGUUACAGAGAUGAUCACUAGGUUAAUGGGUGUCUCAGUAGAAAUACAGGACACAAAGCACUUGCAUUUCAUUUGGUGACAAUUUUAAUUGGCUCAGUAAUGUAGGUUUUUUAUCUGCGCUGUUUUAAAUGUUUUAUGUGCAGCACUUGUAUCAAUGCUGGCCGUCUGUUUGAUUUUUGUUUAGUUUAAGCAGCUGCUGUGUUUGACUUGUCAUUUCUAACAUGUGGAAAACAUUGUGCUCGUACUUGGACAAUUGUAGCGUCAGAAUGUAAGCGCUUUGUGGACAAAACUGUGCCUGAAUGACUGAAAUACUGUAACUUAUGUUAUUGCAUUGCAAAUUUUGAACUAACUGGGGAUGGUGGGGGGGGAAAGUCAUGCGCAUGUUGACAGCUGUGUCUGUCAGGAAUUUUAUAAAUUACUUCAUUUGUGGUAUUUUGUUGACUGAGUUUCACAGUAUUAGAGUAUUGUCUAGCUUGAUUUGUAACUUGAAAUUCACCAGGGGUUUUAUUCCUUAUCAAGAUGCAGUAUUUGAUGUUUGGUUUGUAAAAUGUCACUCAGUGUUUUCUCGGUCUAAAGAUACUCAGUUUACUGUAGCAGUUGUGGGGAGGAAAAACAAUAUAUUCACAUCUAGGAAGCCAAUCACAAAAUUUUCCUUAUUUUCUCCAAAAAGUCAAACAAUGAUUUGCUAAAAUAGUUGACAAUCGAUCAUCACUAUAAAGUCAACAUUAAACAGGCUUAAUUUAUUUGCUACUACAUUUCUGGCUUCUAAAUUUGACUAAUUGCUGAAUAAGUUGCUACAUGUGAAAAGUUAAACUGAAGGAGUCAAUCUGACAAAUUCAUCUUGAUUCUAAAAUAUGAUGACCAAAUCUGAGCUAAAAAUCAAGAUUUAUUUAUAAAUAUCCUACGUCUGACUUUAAAUUAGAAUUUUUCAAAUAGAGUUCAGUUUAAAGGUUCAUUCUAGAGCAGCAACUAAUUAAAGAGAUUUUUCAAUUAAGCAAUUAGCUGCUUCGUCAACUUAUUUUUAAAUAGAUCAUUGCAUUCUAAAACACAACUUUUAAUCCCACUUUCCAGUGUUCACAUCUUCAAUAAUCAUUUCUAGAUAGUGUAAACGGCAUAAAAUUAUGCAAAGACCAAGCAUGUCAGAAUCUCAUCCAAAUUAACUUGACAUCCUGGAGCCCAUUUAUUUCUUUGUAAAUAAAUGUGGCUUCACAAACUGGUUUUGUUGGGCGAAGUCGUCUCCGCACUGCAGAGAACGAGGUCAGAGUCGACUCGUAUCAUAAGAUGGCAAGGCUUUUCUCCUUCCCCUUCUCCUCUGUAUGCAAUGACAGCUGAGCUCAAAGAAACCCAAAGAGAAAAUGAUAACCCCACGGUUGGGCAGUUUUCAAAAUCAGACAAGGAUCCAUCUGGUUUUGAGAAACCGCACAUCGUGUAAAUGAGACUUGAAACAUCGGAUUCUGAUAUGUUUUGGAGAGGAUUGCGAGGAAACACAUGAUAGACUUUGUUGUAUAGGAGCAAUAUUAGACAAAGUUGAUAUAAUUCUGCACUUCUCUGUGCAAUAGAAACUAUAACUGAUUCUGUUGUGACUAAGGAAUGACAAAUUCAGAGUUUUCAGUUGAACUGUAGGCUGUGCUAACAGAGAAGAGGCAAUAAUAGACUGAGAAAUACAAACUAGAUCAAUAAAAUGAUGCAAGGAUCAAAUUGUACAGCAGAGCAAAUUGUUGGAAGAUGUGUUCAGCAUCGUGAAAUAUUUUUCUAAAAUUGGUGUGCAGAGUAGAACGACAAUGCAGACUUUGUAGUGUUUUAAAAUUGUAGUUUAUCUAUAGAAUGUGGAGACAAAACAACCCCAAAAAUAGACAUGACAAAAAUAAGGAGGUACAAAACAAACUCAAUGGUUAAAUAACUUGGUAUGGAGAGCCACAAUGUUAGUGUUUCUGUUUGUGUCCCUCCCCCCUUAUUGGUAACACAUUUCAAAAGUGUUGAUACAUUUUCUUGAAUUUUUCUGAUUUGUGAUUCUGUCAUAUUGCACAAAAGAGAUUUGAGUUCUCUCCAUGUCUGACCAUUGUUGUGCUGUUUCCAUUCAGGUGCUCUGUAUUUGUCAAAGCAAAUCAUGUUGUUGUGUUUUGCAUUUGUGGUUGUGUUUUUGUUCUUCAAUUCUGUCUGCGCAAAGAACUUGUGACUCUACAAACCAUAUAAUCAGCACCGCUGGCCAUCAGGCCAUGGGACUCUUGGACUGUAGAGCUUGGAUGUGAUUAAAUCACAUGAGACUUGAACUGAUGGACAAAUAACAAGCUCUACACCUUGCAGGACGCCUGCACUGGACUUUUACGGAUUGUUGCGUCUUUGGCCAUUGUUGGACAAACAUGGACAUUCUGGCCAACUUUUGGAUCUCCUGUGAACUUACUGUGUUGCGUUCUAACGAAAUGGGAUUUUGCUUUAGCUGCGGAUGACUAAGUUUAGUUUCCUAAAAGUGGGAUAAAGACACUCCCACUCCUGAUGCCGGAUGAGAAGAACCAUGUCUGUGGUUGAAGAGCUGCAGGAUGGAGAUGACGUGUCAUCGUUGGAGAACUGGACCUGAGGUCUGCUGAGGACGAUGGUGGCUGCAGAGGACGGAGGACGCUGCUGCUCAGAAGAUGCUGAGGAGGAGGACGGCCAGAUGACGACGCAUCAACGGAUGUCCAACAUUGAGGAAAGAAGACCUAACUGAUCUGACGGAGCACAUUCCCUAGAUCUUCAGUUCUCUGAUCACUUGAUUCCACACAAGUCGGAUUACCUUUACCCUUAGGGUAAAGCCCAAACAGUGACUGGUUUCAGUUAGUCCCUGACUCCUAAGACUGAACAUUAUGAACUCAAAUCAGAUGAUGUUAUGGAUGCUCCUGAAAAUGUGCUUAGAUGUAUGUUUGUGAA
Molecule: long non-coding RNA, 6863 nt
Organism: Amphiprion ocellaris (clown anemonefish)
Lineage: Eukaryota; Metazoa; Chordata; Actinopteri; Pomacentridae
Exons: 6
Source: RefSeq, a predicted model, not a curated record